CUAACCUGAAUUAACUCCUAAUGAAGCAUUAUGAUCAGCUCGGAUAUCUACCGACCUUCCAUAUGAGACAUCGGUCCAGAAAUGAUGUGACCCCAAAGUACAGACGGUAAUUUUAUAGUUAUCUUCCAGUUUUGCUACAGUCAUGCUACAACUCAUCCCUAGCUGGCACAUACAACUAAGUAUGAACUCACAGCUAAUACAUACAACUAUACUCUAACUCAUUUACA
This 227-nucleotide long non-coding RNA is filed under the name Elaeis guineensis (African oil palm). Its description in RNAcentral is "long non-coding RNA (EGUI_LNC074907)". Lineage: Eukaryota; Viridiplantae; Streptophyta; Magnoliopsida; Arecales; Arecaceae. The record is from RNAcentral.